This 491-nucleotide ribosomal RNA is filed under the name uncultured bacterium. Its description in RNAcentral is "partial 16S ribosomal RNA". It matches the Rfam family "Bacterial small subunit ribosomal RNA", at positions 29 to 506 of the family's 1533-position model. The record is from RNAcentral.
AGUGAACGCUGGCGGUAGGCCUAACACAUGCAAGUCGAACGGCAGCACAGUAAGGGCUUGCUCUUACGGGUGGCGAGUGGCGGACGGGUGAGGAAUACAUCGGAAUCUACUUUUUCGUGGGGGAUAACGUAGGGAAACUUACGCUAAUACCGCAUACGACCUACGGGUGAAAGCAGGGGAUCUUCGGACCUUGCGCGAUUGAAUGAGCCGAUGUCGGAUUAGCUAGUUGGCGGGGUAAAGGCCCACCAAGGCGACGAUCCGUAGCUGGUCUGAGAGGAUGAUCAGCCACACUGGAACUGAGACACGGUCCAGACUCCUACGGGAGGCAGCAGUGGGGAAUAUUGGACAAUGGGCGCAAGCCUGAUCCAGCCAUACCGCGUGGGUGAAGAAGGCCUUCGGGUUGUAAAGCCCUUUUGUUGGGAAAGAAAAGCAGCAGGUUAAGACCCCGCUGUUCUGACGGUACCCAAAGAAUAAGCACCGGCUAACUUCGU